Molecule: long non-coding RNA, 402 nt
Filed under: Vigna radiata
Lineage: Eukaryota; Viridiplantae; Streptophyta; Magnoliopsida; Fabales; Fabaceae
Description: long non-coding RNA (VRAD_LNC007944)
Source: RNAcentral
UAUAAAAGAGUAUGGUUGUGUUUUGGUUCAUUGAAGCUUUAAAAUUGGUGAUUACGAUAAGGAAGAUGACAUACUGUUGUGGGACGGUGGUUUUGUUCAUUAUACUACUCACCGUAUUCACCCCUUCAACACUUGCUGAGUUUAGCACUGAAGAUUCAUAUGACGGAGAUUACAGACAAGGAGGUGUUCCUCACAUCCAUGUCCCGCGCUUUGGCAUUCCUUAUCCUCGCCCUCGUCCUAGGCCGCCACCAACAGCUCUAAACCACUAUGCUCCGUAGGCCUACCCUACCAUAAACAGUCUUUCUCAUCUUCACUUUUUUCUUUCUUUUCUAUAAGAAAUUGUACUCAAAACAAAUUAUUUAUAUAUGUAAUCUUGCAACCUCUUUUGUUUGUUUGGUGAUA